GCGGCGGACGGGUGAGUAACGCGUGGGUAACCUACCCCAAAGUCCGGGAUAACAGCGGGAAACCGCUGCUAAUACCGGAUGCCUUUACCUUGGGGCAUCUUGAGGUAAAGAAAGGUAACGCUUUGGGAUGGGCCCGCGUCCCAUUAGCUAGUUGGUGAGGUAACGGCUCACCAAGGCGACGAUGGGUAGCCGGCCUGAGAGGGUGGACGGCCACACUGGGACUGAGACACGGCCCAGACUCCUACGGGAGGCAGCAGUAGGGAAUAUUGCGCAAUGGACGGAAGUCUGACGCAGCGACGCCGCGUGAGCGAUGAAGGUCUUCGGAUCGUAAAGCUCUGUCCUUGGGGAAGAAGGUCUUCGGACUUGACGGUACCCAAGAAGAAAGCCCCGGCUAACUACGUGCCAGCAGCCGCGGUAAUACGUAGGGGGCGAGCGUUGUCCGGAAUUACUGGGCGUAAAGGGUGCGUAGGCGGCCCUUUAAGUCGGAUGUGAAAGCCCGCG
RNAcentral lists this ribosomal RNA (501 nucleotides) under uncultured bacterium. RNAcentral describes it as "bacterial SSU rRNA". It matches the Rfam family "Bacterial small subunit ribosomal RNA", at positions 95 to 606 of the family's 1533-position model. The record is from RNAcentral.